GAAAUGCGAUAAGUAAUGUGAAUUGCAGAAUUCAGUGAAUCAUCGAAUCUUUGAACGCACAUUGCGCCCGCCAGUAUUCUGGCAGGCAUGCCUGUCCGAGCGUCAUUUCAACCAUCAAGCCCCCGGGCUUGUGUUGGGGACCUGCGGCUGCCCGCAGGCCCUGAAAACCAGUGGCGGGCUCGCUGUCACACCGAGCGUAGUAGCAAUCACCUCGCUCAGGGCGUGCUGCGGGUUCCGGCCGUUAAACAGCCUUACAAAACCCAAGGUUGACCUCGGAUCAGGUAGGAAGAUCCGCUGAACUUAAGC
RNAcentral lists this unclassified non-coding RNA (306 nucleotides) under plant metagenome. RNAcentral describes it as "partial contains 5.8S ribosomal RNA, internal transcribed spacer 2, and large subunit ribosomal RNA". The stretch from base 1 to 105 matches the Rfam family "5.8S ribosomal RNA", at positions 50 to 154 of the family's 154-position model. The record is from RNAcentral.